CCAGCGUACGUGUUCGGCAUUGAGCGACCUCCCAAUUGAAUCCGUCAAAAUUACAUGCUAGGUCAGUUUCGUAUGUUUCAGACAAUAUUGAGAUUUGUUCGUUUGUGAUAUUUCCUACAACACGAUGAAGCCGUGAGAUACAGCACAAAGAAGCGAUUUUCUGAUAACUUGACGCGACUCCACUCUCCAGUUGCCUUAUCAUAUGGUCUAUGAACACAA
This 219-nucleotide long non-coding RNA is filed under the name Mytilus galloprovincialis (Mediterranean mussel). The record is from RNAcentral. Lineage: Eukaryota; Metazoa; Mollusca; Bivalvia; Mytilida; Mytilidae.